UGACAUACUUUGCCUUGUACCUAGAUAUAAAACAUAGAUUCCUAUGCUAGCCCUACACCAUUCAUUCAUUUUUCUACUAUUCAUUUUAUGUUGUCAACCACAGCUCAGGUGGGAUGGAGCAAGACCCAAAUCUUUGAAUUAGCGGCAGUCACAAACAGAAGAAAACUGUCACAGCUGUGUAUAGAAAAGUCCAUGCGAGGCGUUCGUGGUGUGGAAGUGACAGAAGACGGAGUCUGGUCUGGGGCUUUGCUGACUUUGGACACAGAAGCAAAAAUACCUGGAAGCAAAAUAAGUGCAAUAGGAUAACCAGAGAAUAUCCAUGGUUAACCACAAAGAUACCCAUUUGGAGCUGGUAGACAAAAUGUUCUGUAGACAAUUG
Molecule: long non-coding RNA, 379 nt
Organism: Bombina bombina (fire-bellied toad)
Lineage: Eukaryota; Metazoa; Chordata; Amphibia; Anura; Bombinatoridae
Exons: 3
Source: RefSeq, a predicted model, not a curated record